RNAcentral lists this ribosomal RNA (837 nucleotides) under Cassava frogskin disease phytoplasma. RNAcentral's name for it is "bacterial SSU rRNA". It matches the Rfam family "Bacterial small subunit ribosomal RNA", at positions 445 to 1297 of the family's 1533-position model. Lineage: Bacteria; Bacillati; Mycoplasmatota; Mollicutes; Acholeplasmatales; Acholeplasmataceae. The record is from RNAcentral.
AAGAGUGGAAAAACUCCCUUGACGGUACUUAAUGAAUAAGCCCUGGCUAAUUAUGUGCCAGCAGCCGCGGUAAUACAUAAGGGGCGAGCGUUAUCCGGAAUUAUUGGGCGUAAAGGGUGCGUAGGCGGUUUAAUAAGUCUAUAGUUUAAUUUCAGCGCUUAACGCUGUUGCGCUAUAGAAACUGUUUUACUAGAGUGAGUUAGAGGCAAGCGGAAUUCCAUGUGUAGCGGUAAAAUGCGUAAAUAUAUGGAGGAACACCAGAGGCGUAGGCGGCUUGCUGGGACUUUACUGACGCUGAGGCACGAAAGCGUGGGGAGCAAACAGGAUUAGAUACCCUGGUAGUCCACGCCGUAAACGAUGAGUACUAAGUGUCGGGUAAAACCGGUACUGAAGUUAACACAUUAAGUACUCCGCCUGAGUAGUACGUACGCAAGUAUGAAACUUAAAGGAAUUGACGGGACUCCGCACAAGCGGUGGAUCAUGUUGUUUAAUUCGAAGAUACACGAAAAACCUUACCAGGUCUUGACAUUUUCUUGCGAAGUUAUAGAAAUAUAAUGGAGGUUAUCAGGAAAACAGGUGGUGCAUGGUUGUCGUCAGCUCGUGUCGUGAGAUGUUAGGUUAAGUCCUAAAACGAGCGCAACCCUUGUCGUUAAUUGCCAGCAUGUAAUGAUGGGGACUUUAACGAGACUGCCAAUGAAAAAUUGGAGGAAGGUGGGGAUUACGUCAAAUCAUCAUGCCCCUUAUGAUCUGGGCUACAAACGUGAUACAAUGGUUGAUACAAAGAGUAGCUGAAACGCGAGUUCUUAGCCAAUCUCACAAAAUCAAUCUCAGUUUCGG